AUACGUAGGGAGCGAGCGUUGUCCGGAUUUACUGGGUGUAAAGGGUGCGUAGGCGGCUGAACAAGUCAGGUGUGAAAACCAUCGGCUCAACUGAUGGAUUGCACUUGAAACUGUGCAGCUUGAGUGAAGCAGAGGCAGGCGGAAUUCCCGGUGUAGCGGUGAAAUGCGUAGAGAUCGGGAGGAACACCAGUGGCGAAGGCGGCCUGCUGGGCUUUAACUGACGCUGAGGCACGAAAGCAUGGGUAGCAAACAGGAUUAGAUACCCUGGUAGUCCAUGCCGUAAACGAUGAUUACUAGGUGUGGGUGGUCUGACCCCAUCCGUGCCGGAGUUAACGCAAUAAGUAUCCCGCCUGGGGAGUACGGCCGCAAGGCUGAA
This 376-nucleotide ribosomal RNA is filed under the name uncultured bacterium. RNAcentral describes it as "bacterial SSU rRNA". It matches the Rfam family "Bacterial small subunit ribosomal RNA", at positions 523 to 898 of the family's 1533-position model. The record is from RNAcentral.